This 808-nucleotide ribosomal RNA is filed under the name Russula odorata. Its description in RNAcentral is "partial large subunit ribosomal RNA". It matches the Rfam family "Eukaryotic large subunit ribosomal RNA", at positions 55 to 842 of the family's 3401-position model. Lineage: Eukaryota; Fungi; Basidiomycota; Agaricomycetes; Russulales; Russulaceae. The record is from RNAcentral.
GGGGCAGUACUAACAAGGAUUCCCCUAGUAACUGCGAGUGAAGCGGGAAAAGCUCAAAUUUAAAAUCUGGUGGUCUUUGGCCAUCCGAGUUGUAAUUUAGAGAAGCGUCUUCCGCGCUGGACCGUGCACAAGUCUCCUGGAAUGGAGCGUCAUAGAGGGUGAGAAUCCCGUCUUUGGCACGGAUGUACCAGGGCUUUUGUGAUGCGCUCUCGAAGAGUCGAGUUGUUUGGGAAUGCAGCUCAAAAUGGGUGGUGAACUCCAUCUAAAGCUAAAUAUUGGCGAGAGACCGAUAGCGAACAAGUACCGUGAGGGAAAGAUGAAAAGCACUUUGGAAAGAGAGUGAAACAGUACGUGAAAUUGUUGAAAGGGAAACGCUUGAAGUCAGUCGCGUCGACCGAGACUCAGCCUUGCCUCGGCUUGGUGUACUUCUCGGCUGACGGGUCAGCAUCAAUUUUGCCCCUUGGAUAAUGGCGAGGGAAAUGUGACACCUUUACGGUGUGUUAUAGUCCUUCGUCGCAUGCAAGGGUCGGGAUUGAGGAACUCAGCACGCGCCCUCGGGCGUCGGGGCUUUGCCCACGAUACGUGCUUAGGAUGUUGGCGUAAUGGCUUUAAACGACCCGUCUUGAAACACGGACCAAGGAGUCUAACAUGCCUGCGAGUGUUCGGGUGGAAAACCCGUGCGCGCAAUGAAAGUGAAAGUUGGGACCUCUGUCGUGGAGGGCACCGACGCCCGGACCAGACCUUUUGUGACGGAUCUGCGGUAGAGCAUGUAUGUUAGGACCCGAAAGAUGGUGAACUAUGCCUGAAU